Molecule: ribosomal RNA, 253 nt
Filed under: uncultured bacterium
Lineage: Bacteria
Description: partial 16S ribosomal RNA
Rfam family: Bacterial small subunit ribosomal RNA
Source: RNAcentral
UACGUAGGGUGCAAGCGUUGUCCGGAAUUAUUGGGCGUAAAGAGCUCGUAGGCGGUCUGUCGCGUCUGCUGUGAAAAUCCAGGGCUCAACCCUGGACCUGCAGUGGGUACGGGCAGACUAGAGUGCGGUAGGGGAGAUCGGAAUUCCUGGUGUAGCGGUGAAAUGCGCAGAUAUCAGGAGGAACACCGGUGGCGAAGGCGGCCAUCUGGACGGAUACUGACGCUGAGGAGCGAAAGCGUGGGGAGCGAACAGG